RNAcentral lists this ribosomal RNA (207 nucleotides) under uncultured bacterium. Its description in RNAcentral is "partial 16S ribosomal RNA". It matches the Rfam family "Bacterial small subunit ribosomal RNA", at positions 568 to 774 of the family's 1533-position model. The record is from RNAcentral.
CGUGUAGGCGGUCAGGUAAGUGAGAUGUGAAAUGCCUCGGCUCACCCGAGGACCGGCAUCUCAUACUGCUUGGCUUGAGUACGGGAGAGGGUGUGGGAAUUCCUGGUGUAGCGGUGAAAUGCGUAGAUAUCAGGAGGAACACCGGUGGCGAAGGCGCACACCUGGCCCGAUACUGACGCUGAGGCGCGAAAGCUAGGGGAGCAAACG